AGAGUUUGAUCCUGGCUCAGAUUGAACGCUGGCGGCAUACCUUACACAUGCAAGUCGAACGGUAACAGCACUUCGGUGGCUGACGAGUGGCGAACGGGUGAGUAAUACAUCGGAACGUGCCCGAGAGUGGGGGAUAACGCAGCGAAAGCUGUGCUAAUACCGCAUACGAUCUACGGAUGAAAGCAGGGGACCGCAAGGCCUUGCGCUCAUGGAGCGGCCGAUGGCAGAUUAGGUAGUUGGUGGGAUAAAAGCUUACCAAGCCGACGAUCUGUAGCUGGUCUGAGAGGACGACCAGCCACACUGGGACUGAGACACGGCCCAGACUCCUACGGGAGGCAGCAGUGGGGAAUUUUGGACAAUGGGCGAAAGCCUGAUCCAACCAUGCCGCGUGCAGGAUGAAGGCCUUCGGGUUGUAAACUGCUUUUGUACGGAACGAAAAGGUCUUUUCUAAUAAAGAAGGCUCA
RNAcentral lists this ribosomal RNA (464 nucleotides) under uncultured bacterium. Its description in RNAcentral is "bacterial SSU rRNA". It matches the Rfam family "Bacterial small subunit ribosomal RNA", at positions 8 to 470 of the family's 1533-position model. The record is from RNAcentral.